RNAcentral lists this ribosomal RNA (274 nucleotides) under uncultured bacterium. RNAcentral's name for it is "partial 16S ribosomal RNA". It matches the Rfam family "Bacterial small subunit ribosomal RNA", at positions 338 to 624 of the family's 1533-position model. The record is from RNAcentral.
CCUACGGGAGGCAGCAGUGGGGAAUAUUGCACAAUGGGCGAAAGCCUGAUGCAGCGACGCCGCGUGAGGGAUGACGGCCUUCGGGUUGUAAACCUCUUUCAGCAGGGAAGAAGCGAAAGUGACGGUACCUGCAGAAGAAGCGCCGGCUAACUACGUGCCAGCAGCCGCGGUAAUACGUAGGGCGCAAGCGUUGUCCGGAAUUAUUGGGCGUAAAGAGCUCGUAGGCGGCUUGUCACGUCGGAUGUGAAAGCCCGAGGNUAACCUCGGGUCGUGC